This 1554-nucleotide ribosomal RNA is filed under the name Neisseria gonorrhoeae. RNAcentral describes it as "bacterial SSU rRNA". It matches the Rfam family "Bacterial small subunit ribosomal RNA". Lineage: Bacteria; Pseudomonadati; Pseudomonadota; Betaproteobacteria; Neisseriales; Neisseriaceae. The record is from RNAcentral.
AGAGAUUGAACAUAAGAGUUUGAUCCUGGCUCAGAUUGAACGCUGGCGGCAUGCUUUACACAUGCAAGUCGGACGGCAGCACAGGGAAGCUUGCUUCUCGGGUGGCGAGUGGCGAACGGGUGAGUAACAUAUCGGAACGUACCGGGUAGCGGGGGAUAACUGAUCGAAAGAUCAGCUAAUACCGCAUACGUCUUGAGAGGGAAAGCAGGGGACCUUCGGGCCUUGCGCUAUCCGAGCGGCCGAUAUCUGAUUAGCUGGUUGGCGGGGUAAAGGCCCACCAAGGCGACGAUCAGUAGCGGGUCUGAGAGGAUGAUCCGCCACACUGGGACUGAGACACGGCCCAGACUCCUACGGGAGGCAGCAGUGGGGAAUUUUGGACAAUGGGCGCAAGCCUGAUCCAGCCAUGCCGCGUGUCUGAAGAAGGCCUUCGGGUUGUAAAGGACUUUUGUCAGGGAAGAAAAGGCUGUUGCCAAUAUCGGCGGCCGAUGACGGUACCUGAAGAAUAAGCACCGGCUAACUACGUGCCAGCAGCCGCGGUAAUACGUAGGGUGCGAGCGUUAAUCGGAAUUACUGGGCGUAAAGCGGGCGCAGACGGUUACUUAAGCAGGAUGUGAAAUCCCCGGGCUCAACCCGGGAACUGCGUUCUGAACUGGGUGACUCGAGUGUGUCAGAGGGAGGUGGAAUUCCACGUGUAGCAGUGAAAUGCGUAGAGAUGUGGAGGAAUACCGAUGGCGAAGGCAGCCUCCUGGGAUAACACUGACGUUCAUGUCCGAAAGCGUGGGUAGCAAACAGGAUUAGAUACCCUGGUAGUCCACGCCCUAAACGAUGUCAAUUAGCUGUUGGGCAACUUGAUUGCUUGGUAGCGUAGCUAACGCGUGAAAUUGACCGCCUGGGGAGUACGGUCGCAAGAUUAAAACUCAAAGGAAUUGACGGGGACCCGCACAAGCGGUGGAUGAUGUGGAUUAAUUCGAUGCAACGCGAAGAACCUUACCUGGUUUUGACAUGUGCGGAAUCCUCCGGAGACGGAGGAGUGCCUUCGGGAGCCGUAACACAGGUGCUGCAUGGCUGUCGUCAGCUCGUGUCGUGAGAUGUUGGGUUAAGUCCCGCAACGAGCGCAACCCUUGUCAUUAGUUGCCAUCAUUCGGUUGGGCACUCUAAUGAGACUGCCGGUGACAAGCCGGAGGAAGGUGGGGAUGACGUCAAGUCCUCAUGGCCCUUAUAACCAGGGCUUCACACGUCAUACAAUGGUCGGUACAGAGGGUAGCCAAGCCGCGAGGCGGAGCCAAUCUCACAAAACCGAUCGUAGUCCGGAUUGCACUCUGCAACUCGAGUGCAUGAAGUCGGAAUCGCUAGUAAUCGCAGGUCAGCAUACUGCGGUGAAUACGUUCCCGGGUCUUGUACACACCGCCCGUCACACCAUGGGAGUGGGGGAUACCAGAAGUAGGUAGGGUAACCGCAAGGAGUCCGCUUACCACGGUAUGCUUCAUGACUGGGGUGAAGUCGUAACAAGGUAGCCGUAGGGGAACCUGCGGCUGGAUCACCUCCUUUCUAGAG